Molecule: non-coding RNA, 1796 nt
Organism: Nematostella vectensis (starlet sea anemone)
Lineage: Eukaryota; Metazoa; Cnidaria; Anthozoa; Actiniaria; Edwardsiidae
Source: Rfam
UGACCUCAGAUCAGGCAAGGCAACCCGCUGAAUUUAAGCAUAUUAAUAAGCGGAGGAAAAGAAACUAACAAGGAUUCCCCUAGUAAUGGCGAAUGAAGCGGGAACAGCUCAAAUUUGAAAUCUCCGUUGCUUGCAACGGCGAAUUGUAGUUUCGAGAAGCACUUUCUCGGCGGAUCCGAGGUCGUCCAAGUUGCUUGGAACAGCACGUCGUAGAGGGUGACAACCCCGUCUGCGGCGACCUCGGCCGUUCACGAUGUGCUUUCGACGAGUCGGGUUGUUUGGGAAUGCAGCCCAAAAUGGGUGGUAAACUCCAUCUAAAGCUAAAUAUUGGCACGAGACCGAUAGCGAACAAGUACCUUGAAUGAAAGAUGAAAAGCACUUUGAAAAGAUAGUUAAAAAGUACGUGAAACCGUUAAAAGGGAAACGAAUGGGGUUAGCAAUGCGUCGUGCGAGAUUCAGCCGGUGGGUGGGCCAGGCGGGCGGUUGGCGGAUCUGAAUGGACCGCUGCCGUUCGGGUUGGUUUCCCGACCGUCGCACUUCUCGCAGGCGCGCGCCAACGUCGGUUAGGGCUGGGUUUCAAAGGCGGUGGAAAGGUAGGUUUGGACUCUCGGGCCCGAACUGUUGCAGUCCUCCGUUUGUCAUGGCCCGGACCUGACCGAGGAGCUUGCGGUGCAUGCCGUUCGGCUAGGGUCCCGUCUUCCCGGUCGGUCGUCGAAUGCGGUGGACUGCGUGCAGUGCGCCGCGACUGCUGCCGGUCGCGAGGGCGGUGAUUUCGUACUAUGCACCCACGACGUUGGCGAUCAUAUGGCCUCAUCCGACCCGUCUUGAAACACGGACCAAGGAGUCUAACAUGUGUGCGAGUCUUUGAGUGAUCGAAACUCCGAGGCGAAAUGAAAGUGAAGGCGACUUCGGUCGCUGAGGUGAGAGCCUUUUACAAAAAAAAGGCGCAUCAUUGACCGACCUAUUCUACUCUUAGAAAGGUUUGAGUAAGAGCGCAUCUGUUGGGACCCGAAAGAUGGUGAACUAUGCCUGAAUAGGGUGAAGCCAGAGGAAACUCUGGUGGAGGCUCGUAGCGAUUCUGACGUGCAAAUCGAUCGUCAAAUUUGGGUAUAGGGGCGAAAGACUAAUCGAACUGUCUAGUAGCUGGUUCCCUCCGAAGUUUCCCUCAGGAUAGCUGGAACUUACGGCAGUUUUAUCAGGUAAAGCGAAUGAUUAGAGGUCUUAGGGUUAAAACAACCUUAACCUAUUCUCAAACUUUAAAUUGGUAAGAAGUCCGACUUGCUUAAUUGAAGCCGGACAGUGAAUGCGAGUUCCUAGUGGGCCAUUUUUGCUAAGCAGAACUGGCGAUGCGGGAUGAACCGAACGCGCGGUUAAGGUGCCAAAGUCGACGCUCAUCAGACCCCACAAAAGGUGUUGGUUGCUCUAGACAGCAGGACGGUGGCCAUGGAAGUUGGAAUCCGCUAAGGAGUGUGUAACAACUCACCUGCCGAAGCAACUAGCCCUGAAAAUGGAUGGCGCUCAAGCGUCGCACCUAUACCGUGCCGUCGGAGCAGAUGCGAAGCUCCGACGAGUAGGAGGGCGUGGGGGUCGUGACGCAGCCUCUGGCGCGAGCCUGGGUGAAACGGCCUCCAGUGCAGAUCUUGGUGGUAGUAGCAAAUAUUCAAAUGAGAGCUUUGAAGACCGAAGUGGAGAAAGGUUCCAUGUGAACAGCAGUUGGACAUGGGUUAGUCGAUCCUAAGAGAUAGGGAAAUUCCGUUUGCAAGCGCCCGAUCUUGGGCCGCCUAUCGAAAGGGAAU